GGCCUCAAUUCCUCACAGGGCAACCUGAGUGCAGGACACCUGGCCUCAUCUCCAGUGGAAACACAAAUGCUCCCCCCGAAGGUGCUGUUGUGCUUGUCCCACCUUCUCCCUCCAGCCAGAAACGCCUACAUUCCUGUCCCUUGUGCACGUGCAGCCACAGCAAACAAACAGGCCCUGCACUGACCUGUUCCCUGCUUGGAGUCUGGUUCCUACAAGACCCAGCCCUUUGCCUUAUAGCCAUGGGGGCAAUGCUUCAUCUUCAGGCAGCCAGGGGCCGGAAGGAGCCUGGAUCCUCCGCUGGCCCCCUCCCUCUCCUUCAGCGGCAGUGACCCUUUCCCCAGCGUCUGCUGCCCUCUUGGGACGGCGUGCCCAGGUCUCAGAAUGCACCACGCAGAAACGAGGCCCCACUCCUGACAUCUGUUGACGCUGCUCCUGUUUUAUUUCUAAGCUUGGCUCCGUCCCUUGAGUUGAGCUGAGAGUUUCGCAGAGAAGAAAUUGUCAAAUAAAAAACAAAUCCGGAUUUAGUAAGGACAGCUUUAUUCCAAAAGGAUUAGUGCAGGGCUUGCGGAGGGGUGAGGGGGCGUCUCACAGUAGGGGUACAUUCCUCUCCAACUUACAGGCCUGCAAGGCCUCCAGAGUCAGGAAAAGGGGUUUUCUUUGAUGGAGAGAGGGAACAGGGCUGGAAAGAAUCGGUGGGGGAGUGGCGUGAGGGGGCCUGAGGGGCAGCAGAUACAGCAGGUCCCCCCUGGCCAGCCCAGUCUCAGGGGCUAAGGUGGGAGUUACAGGCUGACCCAGGGGGAGCUAGGCUGAGGGGUCUCCAGGUUCAGGGUUUGGAGGAGGCAGAGAAGCUGAACAAGCUCUUUUUGUUAUUUCUCUAAACAAGUAUUUUGUUCUGCUGGAUCUGUGGGGACAAAACAGCUCAGGGAAUCGCGGAUGAGGCCAUCAUCUGGCCUUCCUGGGCGGACCCAGCGUCCCCGAGUCUCAGCUCAGUCCUGUGGGAAGGGGGAUGUUUGCAGUGAGCUGUUUCCGGAACAUACGGGAGAGCUUUCCAGGACUCGUGGAGUUCCACGCUGUGGAGAUGAAGAUGGGUUCCUAGCACCUGCAGGUUACAGGCCCUUCCUGCCCUGUCCUGAAACCACCUUUGCAAAACUAUGACAGAAGAGAAAUUUGACAUGGCUGCCUCCAUCCUGCUCCUCACCUC
This 1201-nucleotide long non-coding RNA is filed under the name Macaca mulatta (Rhesus monkey). RNAcentral describes it as "lncRNA (ENSMMUG00000058437.1)". The record is from RNAcentral. Lineage: Eukaryota; Metazoa; Chordata; Mammalia; Primates; Cercopithecidae.